This 140-nucleotide small nuclear RNA is filed under the name Cervus hanglu yarkandensis (Yarkand deer). Its description in RNAcentral is "U4 spliceosomal RNA (ENSCHYG00000007453.1)". It matches the Rfam family "U4 spliceosomal RNA". From Rfam's summary of the family: U4 small nuclear RNA (U4 snRNA) is a component of the major U2-dependent spliceosome. Lineage: Eukaryota; Metazoa; Chordata; Mammalia; Artiodactyla; Cervidae. The record is from Rfam by way of RNAcentral.
AGCUUUGCGCAGUGGCAGUAUCGUAGCCGAUGAGGUUUAUCCGAGGCGCGAUUAUUGCUAAUUGAAACCAAUACCCCGCCGUGACGACUUGAGAUAGAGUUGGCAUUUUUUACUUUUUUUUUUUUUUAAGUAAGAAAAAA